Molecule: long non-coding RNA, 2429 nt
Organism: Pongo pygmaeus (Bornean orangutan)
Lineage: Eukaryota; Metazoa; Chordata; Mammalia; Primates; Hominidae
Exons: 3
Source: RefSeq, a predicted model, not a curated record
GUGGGUGGAUCACGAGGUCAAGAGAUCGAGACCAUCCUGGCCAACAUGGUGAAACCCUGUCUCUACUAAAAAUACAAAAAUUAGCUGGGCGUGGUGGCAUGCACCUGUAGUCCCAGCUACUUGGGCGGCUGAAGGAAGAGAAUCACUUAAACCUGGGAGACGGAGAUUGCAGUGAGCUGAGAUCACACCACUGCACUCCAGCCUGGAGCAGGGACCACUCCAGCCUGGCGACAGAGCGAGACUCUGUCUAAAAAAAAAAAAAAAUUGUAGAGACAGGGUCUCACUAUGUUGCCCAGGUUGGUCUCACACUCUUGGGCUCAAGCAGUCCUCCGACCUUGGCCUCUCCAAGUGCUGGGAUUACGGGCAUGAGCCACCAGGCCUGGCUUGGAUUUAUUUACUUUCUCAGUUUUAAGGACUAAUUAUUAUUACAAGAGGUGAAUAUGCCAUAAUUUAUUUAAUUGUACAUCAUUUUUUAAUUGAUACAGAUAAGCUGUGACACUUUGUUCAUCUUUAUGUUUAUAUCCAUGGGAUAGAUCCCUGGCAGAGCACCUUGCUGAUCAAAUGGUAACAACUCUUUAAGGCUCAUCAUUCAUACUAGCCCCCAGUUAACCCAGCUAACCCAGGGACUGGCAUAUUGUAGAGGUUCAAUGAGCCAGUGUCUGAAAGGCUAACCUCAACCUCGCCCCUCCUGUAGCACUUCCCCAGUUCUGCUGUCUCCAUCCAGGGCAUAGUUUUCUCUUGGGCUGUGCUUCUUACGAUUCUCUGGCAUUACUGUCCAUGGCACAUCUAUGGUGUCGGAACAGCUGGGGAGGCUAUCAGAAGGUUCCACUCCAUGGGAGAAAGGCUUUAUCUACAGAUCUGCCCUUGUGAGAAGGCACCAGCUAACCCAGUCUCAGGGCGAUGCCAGCAUCUCACCUCCUCUCACUGUGGAAACCAUUUCCCCACCAAGGGAGCAACUGAAGCAUUCUUGUGAAUAGCCUGAAGCUUUGUGGUGAGCUGAAGCUGUCCUGGUUUGUGCAAUGCACGGCAUGACACCAAUAUCAUGAUUAAAAAUUUUCCCCUUCAGAGAGGAUCAGGAAAAAAACUAAUGGGUACUAGGCUUAAUAUCUAGGUGACAAAAUGAUCUGUAUAACAAACUCCCAUGACAUGAGUUUACCUAUGUAACAAGCCUGCACAUGUACCCCUGAACUUAAAAGUUAAAAAAAUGAAAAAAGAAACAAAAUUCCCCCUCAGUCUCCCCAAGUUUGUAUUUUCUAAUACCCCAAGGCUGCCUGUAAAGAGAAGAGAUGGCUGAGAACACAGAAGGAGGCAGCAGCUACAAGUCCUGAGUUCAGUUCUAUCCGGCCGCCACGAGACAGAGGGAGAGUGAGUCCCAUUCUACGGAUGAGAAGAUGGAGGCCCACGGGGAUUUUCACAAGAGUUGGUACCAACAAAGAUUUCUGAAGCUUCGUCUAUAUCUCCGGGGAGAUUCUGCAAAAGUUCAUAGUUGACUAUUCUGAAACCAGCCCCCAGUGCCCCAAGCCAGGUGUCAUGUAAGUGCCAGUGCUCCUGCCCACCCCUCGGGAGGGAGGCUGGGAGGUCUGGGGUGAGGUCCCCUCAGAGUACUCAGCUCUCUAAGGCCCAUCAAGGUGAAGGACUCCAGGGCAGGCCCCUGCAGUGUUUUCUGACCUGGCCUGGGGCCUGCAGAGUCCUGAAGGGCCUGCCCAUGGGCAGAGGGAAGAGAGAAGACUUGACAACAGGAAGUUUGCUUCCUGAGGAACCCCAUCUGAGACACUUGGGGAAGGCCCAUGAACCCCGAAGUUAAGGGGAAAUUUUACAGGCGAGAGGACAGGCCCUGAGAUACCUGGGACAGAGAAGGACGCAGGGGCCACAGGAUUCCCCUGAUGAAUUCAUCAGUUCUUAACUCUUCCUUCCUUCUCCACGGCCUCCUAACCAAGAGAGGCUGGCAGAUCUGUGCUGACCCCAAUAAGAAAUGGGUCCAGAAAUACAUCAGCGACCUGAAGCUGGAUGCCUGAGGGACCUGGAAGCUGUGAGGACCCAGUGACCUUGGUGGGCCCAGGAGGGAGCAGGAGCCUGAGCCAGGGCAAUGACCCUGCCACCCUGGAGGCCACCUCUUCUAAGAGUCCCAUCUGCUAUGCCCAGCCACAUUAACUAACUUUAAUCUUAGUUCAUGCAUCACAUUUCAUUUUGAAAUUGAUUUCUAUUGUUCAGCUGCAUUAUGAAAUUAGUAUUUUCUCUGACAUCUCAUGACAUUGUCUAUCACCCUUUCCCCUUUCCCUUCAACUCUUCGCACAUUCAAUGUGUGGAUCAAUCAGUGUGAUUACCUUUCUCAGCAGACAUUAUGCCAUAUGUAUCAAAUGACAAAUCCUUAUUAAUGGUUUUGCUCAGCAUCACCUUUUAAUAUAUUGGCAGCACUUAUAUAAAAGGUA